RNAcentral lists this ribosomal RNA (707 nucleotides) under Lactococcus sp. GA68. Its description in RNAcentral is "bacterial SSU rRNA". It matches the Rfam family "Bacterial small subunit ribosomal RNA", at positions 120 to 815 of the family's 1533-position model. Lineage: Bacteria; Bacillati; Bacillota; Bacilli; Lactobacillales; Streptococcaceae. The record is from RNAcentral.
GGUAACCUACCUAUCAGCGGGGGAUAACUAUUGGAAACGAUAGCUAAUACCGCAUAACAAUGUUGGAUGCAUAUUCGACAUUUGAAAGUACCAACUGGUACACUGAGAGAUGGACCCGCGUUGUAUUAGCUAGUUGGUAGUGUAAUGGACUACCAAGGCGAUGAUACAUAGCCGACCUGAGAGGGUGAUCGGCCACAUUGGGACUGAGACACGGCCCAAACUCCUACGGGAGGCAGCAGUAGGGAAUCUUCGGCAAUGGACGAAAGUCUGACCGAGCAACGCCGCGUGAGUGAAGAAGGUUUUCGGAUCGUAAAACUCUGUUGUUAGAGAAGAACGUUGCAUAGAGUGGAAAAUUAUGCAAGUGACGGUAUCUAACCAGAAAGGGACGGCUAACUACGUGCCAGCAGCCGCGGUAAUACGUAGGUCCCGAGCGUUGUCCGGAUUUAUUGGGCGUAAAGCGAGCGCAGGUGGUUUAAUAAGUCUGAUGUAAAAGGCAGUGGCUCAACCAUUGUGUGCAUUGGAAACUGUUAGACUUGAGUGCAGUAGAGGAGAGUGGAAUUCCAUGUGUAGCGGUGAAAUGCGUAGAUAUAUGGAGGAACACCGGUGGCGAAAGCGGCUCUCUGGACUGUCACUGACACUGAGGCUCGAAAGCGUGGGUAGCAAACAGGAUUAGAUACCCUGGUAGUCCACGCCGUAAACGAUGAGUG